ACGCUCGACACCUACGGGAGGCAGCAGUGGGGAAUAUUGCACAAUGGGGGAAACCCUGAUGCAGCGACGCCGCGUGGAGGAAGAAGGUCUUCGGAUUGUAAACUCCUGUUGUUGGGGAAAAAGAGGAUGGUACCCAACAAGGAAGUGACGGCUAAAUACGUGCCAACAGCCGCGGUAAUCUGAGCGGGCUGGCAAGGC
RNAcentral lists this ribosomal RNA (198 nucleotides) under uncultured bacterium. RNAcentral describes it as "partial 16S ribosomal RNA". It matches the Rfam family "Bacterial small subunit ribosomal RNA", at positions 328 to 539 of the family's 1533-position model. The record is from RNAcentral.